Long non-coding RNA from Anolis carolinensis (green anole), 7854 nucleotides. RefSeq lists it as uncharacterized. The transcript has 2 exons. Lineage: Eukaryota; Metazoa; Chordata; Lepidosauria; Squamata; Anolidae. The record is from RefSeq and is a predicted model, not a curated record.
CCGAGCCGUUGCGUUGUUUUGGGCCCCAGCUGGAGGUUGCGUCAUGAAGGCGCGACGGGAAAGGGCGAAAGGAAGCAACCGCGGCGCACCCACUGCGCAGGCCCUAGCUUUCCCAGGCGCCGCGGACUUCAACUCCCAGAAUCCCUCACCGUUCGACAGGGCAGCUGAGGCUUCUGGGAGUUGAAGUCCAAAACGCCUGGAACCGCUAGGCCCCCGGCGUUUGUGAUUUGGGGGGUUUUUCUUUUUGGACUUCGGCUUUUUUUUUCCGUGUCAGGAGCAACCGGAGUUGCUUCUGGAGUGAGAGAAUUUGCCGUCUGCAAGGACGUUGCCCAGGGGACGCCCAAAUGUUUUUUGAUGUUUUACCAUCCUUGUGGUAGGCUUCUCUCAUGUCCCCGGAUAGAGCUGGAGCUGAUAGAGGGAGCUCAUCCGCGUUCUCCCCGGGUGGGACUUCGGCUGCUUCGGUCGUUAAGUCCGCCCUGGGCCCAUUUCUCAUCCACAUCUUAGAUCAGGCCUGGGCAAACUUUGGCCCUCCAGGUGUUUUGGACUUCAACUCCCCGGCUGUUAGGAAUUGUGGGGGGUGAAGUCCAAAACACCUGGAGGGCCAAAGUUUGCCCAGGCCUGACUUAGAUGAAGGUUAGAAGGCAUGAUCACCAAAUUGGGAGGGAUAGCAAUACCUCAGAAGACAGGAGCAGAAUCCAAAACAAUCUUAACGCAUUAGAGAAGAUGGGCCGAAACUAACAGAGUGAACUUCUGCAGGGAGAAAUGCAAGAUACUCCACUUUGGCAGAAAAAAAUGAAAUGCAAAGAUACAGAAUGUGGGACGCCUGGCUUGAAAGCAGCACAUGUGAAAAAGAUCUUAGAGUCCUCGUGGGCAACAAGUUGAAAAUGAGCCAGCAAUGUGAUGCGGCAGCUUUAAAAAAAUGGGAUUUUGGCCAGCAUAAAUAGGAGUAUAGUGUCUAGAUCAGGCAUAGGCAAACUAAGGCCCUGGGGCCGGAUGUAGUCCCCUGGGCACUUACCUCAGGCCCUCCUGAUUUUCCGUGUCCUCUUGACAUGAUACGGUGGCCUGCCAUGUCCUUAUGCCAGAAAGGUGGGGAAGGAAGCCACGCAGCAACAGCUGAGAGCCCUCUGGAGUGCUCUCAGUCUCCGUGUGUUUCGUCCUCCUCCUGGCAUAAGGACAGUGCAAGUAGCCCCAUCCUUCAGGAAGAUAGCUCAAGGAAGGCAUGUGGUGGCUGAGAGCUCUUCGGAGCAUUCUCAGCCACCACCUGUAUAACUCUCUUCCUGGCAUAAUGCCAAGAGGGCAGCCCGAAGAUCAGGGGAAGAGGAUUGGGACAGUUGUUGCAUGUCCUGCCUUCCUCCUGGCAUAAGGAUGGGGCAAGCAGCUCUGUCCUAAUGCUGGGAGACAAUCUGAGGAUGACCCAGGUCCUACCCUGUCACUCUCCCAGGCCCUACCAUAGUCCCGAGCCUAGCGUGCAAACAGCCCCCCUCCCUCCCGCCCUUUCAGACGGACCCACAAUGUGGCCCCAAGGCAAAAAAGUUUGCCCAUGCCUGAUCUAGAUCCAGGAAAGUCAUGCUACCCCUCUAUUCUGUCUUGGUCAGACCGCAUCAAAGCCUGCUUGCUUCCUGCCUGGGAGAAUCCUUUGUUGGGAAGUGUUAGCUGGCUCUGAUUGUUUCCUUUCUGGAAUUCCCAAUUUCCCUGCUUUCAGAGUGUUGCUCUUUAUUUACUGUCCUGGUUUUAGAGAUUAUAUUGUUCUGUAUUAUUAUAUCACAGUAAUUAUUUCAUAUUACAGUAGAGUCUCACUUAUCCAACAUUUGCUUAUCCAGUGUUCUGGAUUCUCCAACGCAGUUGGCAUUUUAGUAGUCAAUGUUUUUGUAGUCAUUGUUUUCAAUACAUUGUGAUGUUUUGGUGCUAAAUUCGUAAAUACAAUAAUGACUACAUAGCAUCACUGCGCACUGAACUACUUUUUCUGUCAAAUUUGUUGUAUAACAUGAUGUUUUGGUGCUUAAUUUGUAAAAUAACGUAAUUUGACAUUUAAUAGACUUUUCCUUAAUCCCUUCUUAUUAUCCAACAUAUUCGCUUAUCCAAUGUUCUGCCAGGGUGUUUAUGUUGGAUAAGUGAGACUCUACUGUAUAUUUAUAAUCUUAUAUUAUCUGCUUAGGACUGGAUUAUAUGAGGCUCCUUCUACACAGCUGUAUAAAAUGCACACUGUAGUGGAUUAUAUGGUAGUGUGGACUCAAGAUAAACCAGUUCAAAAUAGAUAAUAUAAGAUUAUAAAUGGAUAAUAUAGCUGUGUGGAAGGGCCUUGAGUCUACACUGCCAUAUAAUCUAGUUCAAAUCAGAUAAUCUGUAUUUUAUAGGCAGUGUGGAAGAGGCCUGAUUAAUGGGCACCAUUAAAUGGCAGAGUGGGUUGCUAGGAGACAAAGUGGGCGGAGCUUAGCCUUCAACUGGCAGCAAUGGGAAAAGAUUAUUCCUCUUUCUCUAAUUAGGACUUUAUUUUUCUUGUUGUUGUUGUUGUUGUUGUUUUUUUUUUGAUGUCUAAACACAGCGGGGAUGACCAUGUCCUUUGUGGCCAAGUUUUGUGGGUUUUGGGUGUUUAGUUUCGCUGUUUAUUUUAAGUUAGAAAUGGUCAGAAAAUUUAUAUAUAGAGAGAUUGGGAGUUUUUGUUUUUUUCAGCCAAUGCAUUGUGAAGAUGGCUUUAAACAGAAUGGAAGACAUUUGUUACACAACAAGUCCUCCUGAAGGUUUAGGUUUUUCAGCACUUGAAUAUUGGAAGAGUGCUCUUAUGCUGAGAGCCUUGAUGUUGUUGUGUACCUUCACAUCCUUUCCGACUUACGGAGACUCCAAGACAAUCUUCUCAUUUGUUUUUAUAAGGCUCAGAAAGUGUGACUUGCCCAAAGUUACCCAGCAGGUUUCCAUGGUUAAGUGGGAAUUGGGUACCUGGCGUCCAGAGUUGUGAUCUAAUGCUCAAGCCACUUUUUUCAUGCCAGGGGCAACUUGAGAAACUGCAAGUCGCUUCUGGUGUGAGAGAAUUGGCUGUCUGCAAGGACGUUGCCCAGGGGAUGCCUAGAUGUUUUGAUGUUUUACCAUCCUUGUGGGAGGCUUCUCUUAUGUCCCCGCAUGGAGUUGGAGCUGACAGAGGGACCUCAUCCAUGCUCUUCCAGGAUUGGAUUCGAACCGGCAACCUUCAGGUCAGCAACCUAACCUUCAAGUCAUCAGUCCUGCUCAAGCAACUGAUGCAAAGGAGAACUGGAAUAGAAAGCUGCUGCAUUUGGGGUCUUAUUCCCCUGUCAUCCAGCAGGGGGCGAUCAGGGCUUAGUUGAGGUCUGGUGCACCGUUUCAGUAGCAGGUGCUUAAGUCUUAACAGAGGUCCCUUCAAUACUGCCAUAUAAUCUAUAUAAUCAAAGCGGAAAAUGCACAUUAUCUGCUUUGAAUGUGAUUAUAUGGGUCUAUACUGGCAUAUAACCCAGUUCAAAACAGAUUAUCUGGAUUUUGUAUGGCAAUGUAGAAGGGGCCUGAGAGUACAACUGCACUGAAGAAUAAAUGCCAUUUGAGAUCAUUUUAACUGCGGUGACUCAGGUCCAUGGGACCCUGGGGGUUGUAGUUUGGUGAGGCACCAGCCCCCUUGGCAAGGAAGGCUAAAGCCCUCAUCAAAAUACACAUCCAAUUAUUCCACAGCAUUGAGCCAUUGCAGUUAAAGGCCAAACUGCAUUCAUUCUACAUUAGACAUGGGCACACUUCGGCCAAUAGGCUGUUAGGAAUUGUGGGAAUUGAAGUCCAAAACACCUAGAAAGCCCAAGUUUGCCCAUGCCUGGUGGAGAUGCACUAUGCCUGUCCUAAAACCAAUGGGACAAUAGACUCAAGAUGGGAAAAUGUACGCACAUAGUUUGUAAGAAAUCCCUCCUCCCUUCGUUCUGCCACUUUUCUGGAGUUGGAUAAUUCCUCCUUAACAAUCAGACAACUGUUAAGUGAAAUACUGAAGUUUCUUUAUCUCCAUCAUUCAAGUGUUGUAACUGGAAACUAGCUCUUACCAGCAGUGCUUUUGAUUUUGAAGAGGCAUAAAUUCAGGGAAAGGCAUGCCAAGAGGAAGGCAUGUCAAGCAAAUUCUUGUCAUGACAGCCUUCCACCAGUCUAAUGUGUGCUUUUUGCUUGUGUUUGGGGCACAUCCACCCCUUGCAGUCCUACCAUUUCCGCUGGCUCAACUCUUAUAACAAUGAAAAUGCAACAAAGGCCUCAACAAAGAUCAAAAUCCAGAAAAUGGUGCAAAAUAGCUGAAGAACUUAUAUAAUAUCUGAUGCAAAAACAUGAUUUCUCAGAAAGUUGUCAAUAACUUUUUCUUGAUAUUUUUGUCAAAUGACACAGUUAAAAAGCUAGCCAACAGUCAGAAGCAGUCCAACCACCAGGCAAUCUAGGCAUUUGCCUGUGGCACCAUCGUCCCAGGGGUGCCAUCGAGGCCACCCCCCCCGGCCUCCUUCACCUUUGGGACGGGCCUUGAUGCCGCGGCCUGGGCCUUGCCGCGGCGGCUUGGGCCUUGUUGCCAUGCGGCCCACGCGGCCUGCCCCCACCAUGCGGCCCAUGUGGUCUGGCCAUAUCUCCUGGCCCAUGUAGCCUGGCCACGUCUCCCGCAUGGCCUGGCCCUUCCCGCUGCAGCCUGGCUCUUUCUGCUGCAGGCUGGGCCUUGCUGCCAUGCGGCCCGCACGGCCUGACCUCGUCAUGCGCCCCGUACCGCGUGGCCCUGCCCCUGCGCUGUGUGGCCCCACAUCACACGGCCCCGCCCCCUGCACCACAUCCCCCCCGCACCCCGGGGCCCUGCCCCCUGUGCUACACAGCCCCGCCCCCGUGCUGUGGGGGAGGGGGCGCAAAAAUUACCUUUGCCUACUAUAUUAAAAUACCUAAGGACGACUCCGCCAACAGUUUGCCAGGAAAUAGUUAUUAGAAAAAUAGCUCAUGUUUCUCUAUUUUGCUCCUCUAUGAGCACGCAAUAAAUAUUUUUGAAAGCCUACUGUUCAUAUCCUCAUUGGCACAGCUGUAAAAGUAUUAACAGCUUAAAUGAGAAUAUAACAUCUCAUUACAUGGAUUGGCUGAAAUGCAUUGAAAUUAGCAUACAUGGGGCAUGAACAAUCUCUGGAAAGCUUACUGUAGCACAGAUUAUGUACUUUGUGCCAUUGCUGUGUACAUAGGGAAGCUCUUGUUGAGAAGAUACCAUAAAAACUAAAAUAUAUUAUAAACUAAUCAGUCAAAAUUAUCAAUUUUCUAAAAAGCAAAUAAUUGGAUUCAAGACUUUUUGAGCAACCUUCCACAGAUAUAGACAGUGCUUUUUAUGAAAUUGAUAAUUUUGACUGAAUAGUUUAUGAAAGUCUGUGUUUGGAGUCUGAGCGAAGGAAGAUAGACGCUUUUGAACUCUGGUGCUGGAGGCAAAUCCUGAUAGUGCCUUGGAGCGCAAGAAGAACCAACCAGUCCAUCCUCCAGGAAAUAAUGCCCGGCUGCUCACUGGAGGGAAGGAUAUUAGAGGCAAAGCUGAAGUAUUUAGGCCACAUCAUGAGGAGACAGGAAAGCUUGGAUGCUGGGGAAAAUAGAGGGAAAAAGGAGGAGAGGCUGACCAAGGAUGAGAUCAGAGCCGGUCCAACAAUGAGGCAAAUUAAGUGGUCGCUUUGGGCGCAAAACAUACAGGGGCGCAGUCGAGACUGCUUUUUCUGUUGAUUUGUUGUAAAACAUGAUGUUUUGGUGCUUAAUUUGUAAAAUCUUAAUGUAAUUUGAUGUUUAAUAGGCUUUUCCUUAAUCCCUCCUUAUUAUCCGACAUUUUUACUUAUCCAACGCUUUUAUUUUUCAGUGAUUGGUUUGGAGGGGGGGGCGCCAAAAUUCUGUUCGCCUACACUUGAAAAAUACCUAGGGCCAGCUCUGGGCGAGAUGGAUGGACGGUAUCCUUGAAGUGACUGCCUUGACCUUGAAGGAACUGGGGGUGAUGACGGCCGACAGGCGUGGACUAAACGACUCUAAACUACUGAGCAGCAGCAGGGUUUGGACACCUUUUGGGGUCCUGAAUUUUAAAAACCCACUCCUUUGUCCUGCAUUUUGGCACUGUCUGGAAGUGCACUCAGAUACUGAAGCUGAUUGUGAGCUCUGUUCAAAUUCCGAUUUUGAGGAAUGUGUCCUGGGUGCUCUUUUUCCGUUCUUUGUUAUCAGUGGGCAUGAUUUUCCUUCUCUCCUGCCUAUCCUUUGCUGUUCCCGAGUUGGUUGUCUCCCAGCCCCCCCCCCCUACUUUUCUGUUUUUAAAUUUUUUCCUGUAUGACCGUAUCACACACACAAGGGGCAGGACAGGAUAGUGAGAACCUGCUUAUCUCCAUGAUCACCUCCUCCCCUACCAACCCACACAGGCCUUAAGAUCUUCCGGGGAGGCACUUCUCUUGCUUCCACCUCUGUCUCAAGCACGGCUGGUGGGGAUGAGGGAGAGGGCCUUCUCGGUGGUGGCCCCUCGGCUCUGGAACUCUCUCUCCCCAGGGAGAUCAGACUGGCACCUUCAUUGUCCACCUUCCGCAAGGACCUAAAAACGUGGGUGUUCCGGUGCACUUUUGAGUGAAUAGUCCUGCCAGGUACUCAGUUUGUUUACAAUUUCUUACUGCACUUUAUCACUGUUCCUCACCUUUAUAGGUUUUUAGUGUUUUUAAUGAGACCAUUCCUCCGCCCUUAUCCAUGAGCCCUACUCAGAGUUCUGCACGAGUUCACCCUCUGCACAUGCAGUACUUUAUGUCCAGGUUUUAAAGCAUUUGAUGUGUUUUAUGUCAUUUUAUAUUUAUACUCUUACAUUAUUUUAAUUCAUGAAUUGUGUUUUUAACUUAUGUUUGUUGCUGGGCUCGUCCCCAUGUGAGCCUCCCCGAGUCCCUUCGGGGAGAUGGAAGCAGGGUAUAAAAACAAAGUUGUUGUUGUUGUUGUUGUUGUUGUGGCGAUGAGUAGAGAAUGCAGAAGAAGAUCAGCAAACCAACACCAUAGCACUACUGCAGAGACAUGAGAUAACCAACGUACAGUACAUAUCCCAGGAUGUUUCCAUUCUCUUGAUUAACAACAGGUUGGUAUGAUAAAUUCUUUAAACAGGAGAGUUACUCAUGGUGCUUAGCAGCGUUAAUUAUUAUUAUGUACGCUGGAACUCAAUCGACAGACCCAGUCCUUUAAAAUUGAACAUGCUCAUCUGUAUUUUAGAAUGUGUUUUAUGAAUGUUUGAUGUAAGUUAAUAAUUUUUAACUGUUUUAUAGUGCAUUGUACAAUUUUUAUAUAUGUGUUUUAUUGUAAGCCGCCCUGAGUCCCCUGUUGGGUGAGAAGGGCGGGAUAUAAAUAUUGUAAUAAUUAAUUAAUUAAUAAAUAUUUACUGCAGUUCCGUACCAGGGAAAGAGCAGAGAGGACUAACAAGAAGGAGAAGGGGUAGAGAAACAUUCCCAGGAGUAUCAGUUUAUAUCACAGAGGUGUCAUGGUAGGAAGACAAGGAAGAAGGACACUUUGGAGUCGUGUCGGGCGAAGCACAGAAGAAGAGGUCGGCGACAGGGGGGGCGCCAUGUCAAGGAGCCAAUUCCCAGAGCUGAGUCUGCAAGCUCUGGAAUCGGAGCCAUAACAACAAGCACUCCCCGAUAGCUCAUGCAGACACCUGGCACCGGAGCAUGGGAACUUUUGGAGUGAGAAUCAAAACAGCUUUAAUGAAUAGUUGGUGUUGUAGUGGUAGUAAUGUGAUAUGUGGGGUGGGGUUUGGUGAUGAUAUUUACGUGUGGUGUGACGUUGUAGCAAAGGUGAUAAAAAUGAUUGUGUGUAAACAUUAUGUCAUUCUCGACUUUUCCCAAGUCGUGUGUUCUUCAAUAAAGAUUGGUUUUGAUAACA